GAUGAACGCUGGCGGCGUGCUUAACACAUGCAAGUCGAACGAAGCAUUUGCGACAGAUUUUUUCGGAAUGAAGUUGCUUAUGACUGAGUGGCGGACGGGUGAGUAACGCGUGGGUAACCUGCCUUGUACUGGGGGAUAGCAGCUGGAAACGGCUGGUAAUACCGCAUAAGCGCACAAUGUUGCAUGACAUGGUGUGAAAAACUCCGGUGGUAUAAGAUGGACCCGCGUCUGAUUAGUUAGUUGGUGAGAUAACAGCCCACCAAGGCGACGAUCAGUAGCCGACCUGAGAGGGUGACCGGCCACAUUGGGACUGAGACACGGCCCAGACUCCUACGGGAGGCAGCAGUGGGGAAUAUUGCACAAUGGAGGAAACUCUGAUGCAGCGACGCCGCGUGAGUGAAGAAGUAAUUCGUUAUGUAAAGCUCUAUCAGCAGGGAAGAUAGUGACGGUACCUGACUAAGAAGCUCCGGCUAAAUACGUG
Molecule: ribosomal RNA, 481 nt
Filed under: uncultured bacterium
Lineage: Bacteria
Description: partial 16S ribosomal RNA
Rfam family: Bacterial small subunit ribosomal RNA
Source: RNAcentral